RNAcentral lists this ribosomal RNA (500 nucleotides) under uncultured bacterium. RNAcentral's name for it is "partial 16S ribosomal RNA". It matches the Rfam family "Bacterial small subunit ribosomal RNA", at positions 30 to 523 of the family's 1533-position model. The record is from RNAcentral.
AUUGAACGCUGGCGGAAUGCUUUACACAUGCAAGUCGAACGGCAGCACGGACUUCGGUCUGGUGGCGAGUGGCGAACGGGUGAGUAAUACAUCGGAACGUGCCCAGUCGUGGGGGAUAACGUAGCGAAAGCUACGCUAAUACCGCAUACGAUCUAAGGAUGAAAGCGGGGGAUCGCAAGACCUCGCGCGAUUGGAGCGGCCGAUGGCAGAUUAGGUAGUUGGUAGGGUAAAGGCCUACCAAGCCGACGAUCUGUAGCUGGUCUGAGAGGACGAACAGCCACACUGGGACUGAGACACGGCCCAGACUCCUACGGGAGGCAGCAGUGGGGAAUUUUGGACAAUGGACGCAAGUCUGAUCCAGCCAUUCCGCGUGCAGGAUGAAGGCCCUCGGGUUGUAAACUGCUUUUGUACAGAACGAAAAGGCUCUGGUUAAUACCUGGGGCUCAUGACGGUACUGUAAGAAUAAGCACCGGCUAACUACGUGCCAGCAGCCGCGGUAA